Molecule: non-coding RNA, 74 nt
Organism: Danio rerio (zebrafish)
Lineage: Eukaryota; Metazoa; Chordata; Actinopteri; Cypriniformes; Danionidae
Source: Rfam
AGUGCUGUGGCUUAGUUGAUUAAAGCACCUGUCUAGUAAACAGGAGAGCCUGUGUUCAAACAUCAGCAGUUCUG